This 410-nucleotide ribosomal RNA is filed under the name uncultured bacterium. RNAcentral describes it as "bacterial SSU rRNA". It matches the Rfam family "Bacterial small subunit ribosomal RNA", at positions 29 to 416 of the family's 1533-position model. The record is from RNAcentral.
AACGAACGCUGGCGGCGUGCCUAACACAUGCAAGUCGAGGGAGAAAGGGGGCUUCGGUCUCCGAGUAAACCGGCGCACGGGUGAGUAACACGUAGGUAACGUACCCUUGAGUCUGGGAUAACCAGUCGAAAGACUGGCUAAUACCAGAUACGACCGCGGAAACCCCGGUUUCUGCAGUGAAAGAAUGGCCUCUGCUUGCAAGCUAUCACUCGUGGAUCGGCCUGCGCACCAUUAGCUAGUUGGUGAGGUAACGGCUCACCAAGGCUGAGAUGGUUAGCUGGUCUGAGAGGAUGGCCAGCCACACUGGGACGUGAGACACGGCCCAGACUCCUACGGGAGGCAGCAGUGGGGAAUAAUUGCGCAAAUGGGCGAAAGCCUGACGCAGCGACGCCGCGUGGGUGAUGAAGGCC